AUGAAUUGUUUGAGUUGGAACUGUCGCGGGCUUGGGAACCCGGAGACAGUUCGGGAGCUUCGCAAAGUGGUGAAGCAGGAAGGUCCCUCCCUUCUAUUCGUAAUGGAAACAAAAAUUCAAGGGAAACGUGUUGAGAGUCUUAAGAGCUUACUUGGUUUUACUGGUUGUUUUGCUGUGGAUAGCAAUGGCCUCAGUGGAGGCAUUGGGCUGUACUGGAAUGAUAGUGUGCAUGUUGAACUCAAGAAUUACAGUAAGGCUCAUAUAGAUGUGUUGGUCGGGAGAUGA
RNAcentral lists this ribosomal RNA (285 nucleotides) under Triticum aestivum (bread wheat). RNAcentral's name for it is "partial small subunit ribosomal RNA". The record is from RNAcentral. Lineage: Eukaryota; Viridiplantae; Streptophyta; Magnoliopsida; Poales; Poaceae.